This 3822-nucleotide ribosomal RNA is filed under the name Triticum aestivum (bread wheat). RNAcentral's name for it is "partial small subunit ribosomal RNA". The record is from RNAcentral. Lineage: Eukaryota; Viridiplantae; Streptophyta; Magnoliopsida; Poales; Poaceae.
UAAACGAGCCGGCGGCGACCACGCUUGUCUCUCGGCGGGCGGGGGGAAGCAGUCUAAAGCUCGCGUUUGGCGUUUGGGAGGGGGGUGGAAGCGGAGGGGAAGCAGCCGCAGCGGGCGAAGGGAAGCGGCCUCCGAGCGCAGGGCCGGGCGGGGGGCGGCGGAGGAGGCGGCUAAUCUAUUAUGGUUCGAACAGGAACGACACAAACAAUACUACCAGUAGACAUAAGACACCGACUGGUCAAUUAAAUAAAUCACAUGACGAGAAAUUCAUAUAGAGUCGAGGACUUGCAUAAAACAUGGAACUCCAACCAAUAAGACCUAUGAUGUUAAUUGACUUCCGUCAUAACGUUAUUCCACGUGGUAGGUAUAACAAAUAAUACUCUUUUUCUUACCUCUCUUUCUUUGUCAGAAAGAACAAUGACCCUGAAAGACGUACUCUCGCCAAUCCUCAAACCUAUAACUAAGAAAUAUGAACAAUAGUACCUGACGUUGUUUCUCCUUCGAUAAUCUCGUUUUCGAGACCGACUUUCUUUUAACGACCUCUUCCUAAAACAACCACGUUUUUUUAACUAGUAGUUUCGUGUUGUUGACAAGAGUCUCUAACUGUUAUAAAGUGUUUACAAUUGACAGACACUACAAGUAACACGACGACCUUGCUUCCAAUUACCUCUCGAACUGACCAUACCCUAUGAAGUCCAUGGACGAAAGUGCUUACUACUGUGUGAUUAUUUCUUCGUUAUGGCAUUCGAACGCGAAAACGACGUAGGGCUGUUCUUGUUCAAACGUCCACGUCUCCGACGUAAAUUUAAUCACCCUCUUCGUUUGUACUGCGAAUGUCUGUCGAGUUUUGCAAGACGGAUACUGUACUUUUCCUCUCAGAGUCAGUCUCAACCACGUCGUUCUGGUAGGGGAAUAGUCGUCAGUUCCUCUCGACGAGGACAAUCUGGACACUUAGAAGUAGUCGGGAGUUUAAGACGUCCCUGUGUUGUUUGUAAGACCUGGUACACAAGUUCAACACCGUACUCUAUAGUCAUGAUGUGACGCUACAACUUCUUUCGAUAGGCAACAGUCUCAACAAACUUCGGAAAAUAACGUGUACUAUAUUUACUCGUUCGACAAGGAAGACCCCGUCUAGCUGUCAUACGACCCCAUUUUUUACGUCCCCGUGGUGUCUUAAAACGUCCGGCCGUCUGUUUACGGGGUCCAGUUGUCCGAACCUUAUUACGGUGAGGUCCCCAAGUACGAUUAAUACCUAGAGUAUUCCGUCGACGUUUAUGUUUGUUUUUCUUCCCCCUUCUACCAUUAUCACGAUCACGACGUCCACAUGGUUUACUCUUUCGUUUUAAACGAGCCUGAAGUUUUCCAAGUAGUCGACGUCCUAACUUUUCCCCGUCCUCUCGGCACAGACUUAGAUCACUAAGCCUCUGGUGGUGACUAUCACUUCUUCUCUAGUGACAUCUACCACGACGACGUUUAUUACGUUUCGGCUCAGUUGUGUCGGCGUCCAGUUCAUCCGUCUUCGUUCUUCAAUUCAUAUUCCUUCUAUCACUUCUGCUCCUAUAACCACUACUACCAUUACUACUGCUGCUAUUAUUACAGUCAAGAAGGUUAAAAUUUUCCAAUUCCUUUCCACCACACAACGUACCACUACUAGUUUCGUCGUGUGGUUUCAAACUACUUCUGUUUUGACCCGUAUUACCAGUGUGUUUACCAGAAUUAGUGCUCUUUCUUCUUUGUAGGUUAAGACAGUCGUCGUUACCAGAUCUGGGUUUGGAACUACUACGAAGUCUACUCCUUUUUAAAUCGACGCGUCUAGGACUUAAAAAAUUGAAACUGCUUGAAGCUCUACAUUCAGUCAAAUCUGGGUUGGUCUAGACCCGACAGAUACUAUCAGUACCGACGUACGGUUCUAAAAUACGAGCUUAAUGUUUCCAUUUUUACCGGGGUUUCAAAUAUCAUGUGAAACAAACCGACCUUAACCUAGGGUGUUUACUUCGUCUCGACCGUACCAGUGCGCGUCUUGACGGACAACGAACACCUGUAAAAUUCGUACCUUGUAGUCUGUGUCGAUUUCUUCGAUUAUACAAAAGGGUUUGAUAAAGGACACGCUUUUCGUUCUGUUUUUUGAGCAUACUCUAUAUAGGAUCCUUUCCACUUCAAACCCGGGACGUGUUCCCUACCCUGUAGCCGACCUCAAGCCUACGACUAUCGGUGUGUCUAAAACUCAUACUUGAACAAGUUCAACAGUGCCUAAAGUGUUGGUCGUGAUCGUAGUAACAGCACGGUGAACAUUUUUAUUUUCCGAAACAAUCGAAUAAAUACGUCAGCUUUCUCCGUUGAGGUACACACUAUGGAGUCCUAUUGUGUGAUUCUAAAAGAGUAACGCAGGGAGUAGUAGAGUACGCGCCCUGACUUUCUCUUCCGUAAGGUCUUCCUCGAUAACUUGAACUAGGACGUCGCGAAGGGGAAUUGAACCUUCUCCGAAAACGAAGACAACAAGACCUUUCGUGUCAUUUUCCGUUCCCCCAACUAUGGUUCAUACGACCAAGUAGGUCACCUUAAUUAAGACCGUUCCCCAGACUCUUCCAGCCCCUCCACGGUGUACGAUGUACAUACUUAUGUCCCGAGAAAUGUUCUCGUUGUUUCCUUCUCUUGUUUCUCGUAGUAUGAGGUAGAUGACAUCUUCCACACCUACAAUUACUCCUUAGACUACCGUAACAGGUCCUACUUAAACUUACAGGACUGAGUCUUAAGAUACUUAAAUGUCUUUAUUCCAGCUAAGUCUUCAAGCUUGGACCCGUCUAGACCCGAGAGAUAUCACUAUACCUGUUCAAGGGGUUAAUGAUACGGUAGUAUUUCUUUCAGCUAGAGUUCUUAUUAUUUCAUGUUCACUUUACCGAACUAGAGACAGGAGCCCCUCUCCUCCUCUUUUCUAACUGACCAUUUCUUCUGGCCUGAGAACGCACACCUUAGAAAUUCCAAAGGAGACCGUUACUACCAUGAUGCUGAAUGUGACCAUGUCUCAGUAAAAGAGUAGGGCACCAACGAUCUAGUUGACCAUCUUUUUUACUUAUACUUUAUUAGGGAGCGAAGGCACUGUAGACCCGGCAAAUGUUCUUGACCUCCCGACCUACCUGACGUCUUCUGAAAUUUUUGACACUCAUACUUAAACACCUCUAACAACCGGUCUGACUAAGCAGGUAUGUUCAAGUCGGAAAUCCUUUCCACCUACCGAUGUCCCGUCAUAAAGCUUCUCCCCGUCUACACUUUUGUUAUUCGUUCCUACUCAUGGGUUUCAAGCGAGUGGUGCAGGGAACGAAGGCAGACUGUUUACUUUUUCGUCCGUUCGAAGCUCCGACAAAGCUCGAGCUAGGAAUAAGUCACGGACUCCACAAAGAGAUGUGGUCAAUUUACACCCUACCGGAAUAAACGCCACGUAGAAAUCCUCGACUUCAACACUCUUGGUUCCAAGACAGCUUCAACCCGUCAGGUGCAGAGAUUGUAACAACGUAACCCGAAAAACCGACAAGACUUAUGUAGGUACUUCCAAACUUGAACAGUCCGCUUACCACCGGAAAGCGUAGGUAGUCGCUGUCAAACGUUCGCCUAGUUAGAAGGACGUCGUCGAAAGAUAUCGCUCAAUCGUCGAAUCAUCGUAAAACGACACAGAUCAGGGUUCACAGUGGGGAGUAAGGGACGAGCACAUUAGCUUUAACAACCUUGGUACAUUAAAUUGGCGCGAUCCGAUUAAACUACCCUAGAGCCAUAGAAACAACGACGUUGAAACUUAACUCCACAUCAGCGUCCAAUACCUUCAAAACC